Molecule: long non-coding RNA, 1584 nt
Organism: Leopardus geoffroyi (Geoffroy's cat)
Lineage: Eukaryota; Metazoa; Chordata; Mammalia; Carnivora; Felidae
Exons: 2
Source: RefSeq, a predicted model, not a curated record
CAUGAACGGCGAGAUCAUGACCUGAGCCAAAGUCGAACGCUCAACCGAGCCACCUAGGCACCCCAGGUUUACGUAAUUUUUAAGGUCCCUUCUAGCUCUAAAUUUCCAUGAUUUGUAAAUACAAGGUGCAUAUAAGAUUUCCCUUUCCCACUCAUGACUUUUGAAAAAUAUUACAUGUAUUUUAAAUCGAUCUUGAGACUAUAAAAUCUGUAACAGAUUUAUUACAAAUUUGGUGUUUCAGAAUUAUUUUGAAUUAUUUUGUAUAGUUGAUAUAAUAGUAGUAGCUUACCCUUUGGCUCUUUGUAAUGUCCCAAAACUAUUUAACAAAAUCUGUCCAAACUCCUGGUCUUUCCUUAUAGUGUACAUAUUGAGGAAGAAAGCCUUGGCUCACUUCUAAUUUAAGGAAGCAAUGUUUUUAAGCUGGUUGCAGAACAGAUAGUUGGCUUAACAUUUUUCUGUGCUCAUGCAUGUAACCAUCAUGGCAACCAGUACUUUUUGGAGUUCAUGCUCCUUUGAUAGUUCUUGAAAGAAUUCUCAUGGGAAGCUCAUUGGGGAGAGCUGCUUAAGACAGCUAUUCUGGAUCUGAUUUUCUAAUGUUAUAUAUGUAUUGUAGGCUUCAUGGGACAAAUUGGUUCCAAUGCUGAUAUUUAUUUCAGAGUUACUUAUUAUCAGAGUUAAUUCUCUUAAAAAGUAUGCCUUAAAGUAUACAUCAUGGAUUAUUUCUUCAAAGUAAUCUUCUAUUAUAAGAAGCUCAUGAAAAAUAAGUUUAAGGAAGUAUUUUUGUGCUGAUACCAUUUAUUAUUCUUAAAAAACAAAACAGUAGCAAACAAAUCCCUUCUGGCCUCAUAUGGAUGUUGGUGACUUUGUAGUUAAUGUUAAGCUGCAAAAAUAUUGUGUAAAUAAAAUUGCUUUACCUUUGAAAAAAAUUAUCAUAUAUCCAUUGUUUUAUAUCAGUUAAUGAAUUAUUAUAACUACUAUUGGAAAUAAGCUACUACUGAAUAGAGUACAUAAACUAUUUAUAUUCUCCCAACUUUGAAUUAGCAGUGUUACCACUCUUUGCAAUUACUGUUUUAAAAUAUGGGGAGAGGAAACCUUUUUCCUUUCUCUAUAAUAGAGAUAUUAUAAAGAGAACUGUUAUUUUCAUGGUUAACAAGUAUACUGUAUGUGAUCUAUGGAGGAAAUGCCAGAAGAAAUAGGAAAUACUAUUUUAAGGGGGUGUGUGGAAUGUUUAGGAGGAAAAGAAGAUAGCAUUUAUAAUAUUUGUAAUUUAAUCUUCAUACAAUUUAAAGAUGAUAGGUUGUCAGUAGUAAUUUUCCUGUGUAGAUUGUUUCUUUGCAUUUUCAUUAUACUCAGAUUGCAUUGCGUUGUGUAUAUAUAACUUGAUUUUUUUUAUUUUUCGUUUGUCCAUUAAGACUGUCAGUCAAUUAAAUAAAACUAGGGCUUAUUUAUAAUGUCCCACAUUUGGUGUAAUAAGUUCAUAAUAUGUGUACAUAUUUUUCCCCUUUUGUUAUACUUGUAAUUGCCUGAUAGAAAUGUAAUGUUCCUAAACUGGUUUGCGUUAUUAAAGUGCUAAUUUUAUGCUUA